GACGAACGCUGGCGGCGUGCUUAACACAUGCAAGUCGAGCGGAAAGGCCCUGCUUUUGUGGGGUGCUCGAGUGGCGAACGGGUGAGUAACACGUGAGUAACCUGCCCUUGACUUUGGGAUAACUUCAGGAAACUGGGGCUAAUACCGGAUAGGAGCUCCUGCUGCAUGGUGGGGGUUGGAAAGUUUCGGUGGUUGGGGAUGGACUCGCGGCUUAUCAGCUUGUUGGUGGGGUAGUGGCUUACCAAGGCUUUGACGGGUAGCCGGCCUGAGAGGGUGACCGGCCACAUUGGGACUGAGAUACGGCCCAGACUCCUACGGGAGGCAGCAGUGGGGAAUAUUGCACAAUGGGCGGAAGCCUGAUGCAGCAACGCCGCGUGCGGGAUGACGGCCUUCGGGUUGUAAACCGCUUUCGCCUGUGACGAAGCGUGAGUGACGGUAAUGGGUAAAGAAGCACCGGCUAACUACGUG
RNAcentral lists this ribosomal RNA (468 nucleotides) under uncultured bacterium. RNAcentral describes it as "partial 16S ribosomal RNA". It matches the Rfam family "Bacterial small subunit ribosomal RNA", at positions 28 to 507 of the family's 1533-position model. The record is from RNAcentral.